This 433-nucleotide ribosomal RNA is filed under the name uncultured bacterium. RNAcentral's name for it is "partial 16S ribosomal RNA". It matches the Rfam family "Bacterial small subunit ribosomal RNA", at positions 29 to 507 of the family's 1533-position model. The record is from RNAcentral.
AACGAACGCUGGCGGCAUGCCUAACACAUGCAAGUCGAACGAGACCUUCGGGUCUAGUGGCGCACGGGUGCGUAACGCGUGGGAACCUGCCCUUAGGUUCGGAAUAACUCCCCGAAAGGGGUGCUAAUACCGGAUAAUGUCUUCGGACCAAAGAUUUAUCGCCUUUGGAUGGGCCCGCGUUGGAUUAGCUAGUUGGUAGGGUAAAAGCCUACCAAGGCGACGAUCCAUAGCUGGUCUGAGAGGCUGAUCAGCCACACUGGGACUGAGACACGGCCCAGACUCCUACGGGAGGCAGCAGUGGGGAAUAUUGGGCCAUGGGCGAAGGCCUGAUCCAGCAAUGCCGCGUGAGUGAUGAAGGCCUUAGGGUUGUAAAGCUCUUUUACCCGGGAUGAUAAUGACAGUACCGGGAGAAUAAGCUCCGGCUAACUCCGUG